CCCUUAGAUGUCCGGGGCUGCACGCGCGCUACACUGAUGCAUUCAACGAGUCUAAAACCUGCUCUGAUAGGGGUGGGUAAUCUUUUGAAUGUGCAUCGUGAUUGGGAUAGAUGAUUGCAAUUUUUCAUCUUCAACGAGGAAUGCCUAGUAAACGCAAGUCAUCAGCUUGCAUUGAUUACGUCCCUGCCCUUUGUACACACCGCCCGUCGCUCCUACCGAUUGAAUGAUCCGAUGAAUAUCAUGGAUUGAGGAUGCAAGUAGGUUCGCCUAUCUUCAUCUUCGAGAAGUGAAGUAAAUCUUAUCAUUUAGAGGAAGGAGAAGUCGUAACA
This 329-nucleotide ribosomal RNA is filed under the name uncultured eukaryote. RNAcentral describes it as "partial 18S ribosomal RNA". It matches the Rfam family "Eukaryotic small subunit ribosomal RNA", at positions 1470 to 1796 of the family's 1831-position model. The record is from RNAcentral.